UACGGAGGAUGCAAGCGUUAUCCGGAUUUAUUGGGUUUAAAGGGUGCGCAGGUUGUUUGAUAAGUCAGUGGUGAAAGUCUGUCGCUUAACGGUAGGAUUGCCAUUGAUACUGUUGGACUUGAAUAUGGAUGGGGUAGGCGGAAUGUGUAGUGUAGCGGUGAAAUGCAUAGAUAUUACACAGAACACCGAUUGCGAAGGCAGCUUACUAAUCCAUCAUUGACGCUGAGGCACGAAAGCGUGGGGAUCAAACAGGA
Molecule: ribosomal RNA, 254 nt
Filed under: uncultured prokaryote
Description: partial 16S ribosomal RNA
Rfam family: Bacterial small subunit ribosomal RNA
Source: RNAcentral